UACGGAGGGAGCUAGCGUUGUUCGGAAUUACUGGGCGUAAAGCGCACGUAGGCGGCUUUGUAAGUCAGAGGUGAAAGCCUGGAGCUCAACUCCAGAACUGCCUUUGAGACUGCAUCGCUUGAAUCCAGGAGAGGUGAGUGGAAUUCCGAGUGUAGAGGUGAAAUUCGUAGAUAUUCGGAAGAACACCAGUGGCGAAGGCGGCUCACUGGACUGGUAUUGACGCUGAAGUGCGAAAGCGUGGGGAGCAAACAGG
Molecule: ribosomal RNA, 253 nt
Filed under: uncultured bacterium
Lineage: Bacteria
Description: partial 16S ribosomal RNA
Rfam family: Bacterial small subunit ribosomal RNA
Source: RNAcentral